UACGUAGGGGGCGAGCGUUACCCGGAAUCACUGGGCGUAAAGGGAGCGUAGGUGGCCUAACAUGUCAACUGUGAAAACCCGGAGCUCAACUCCGGACUUGCAGUUGAAACUGGUAGGCUUGAGGACGGUAGAGGAAGACGGAACUGCCAGUGUAGGGGUAAAAUCCUUAGAUAUUGGCAGGAACGCCGGUAGAGUAGGUUGUUGUCGGUCGUU
This 213-nucleotide ribosomal RNA is filed under the name uncultured microorganism. RNAcentral describes it as "partial small subunit ribosomal RNA". It matches the Rfam family "Bacterial small subunit ribosomal RNA", at positions 524 to 738 of the family's 1533-position model. The record is from RNAcentral.